Molecule: long non-coding RNA, 12292 nt
Filed under: Prunus persica (peach)
Lineage: Eukaryota; Viridiplantae; Streptophyta; Magnoliopsida; Rosales; Rosaceae
Description: long non-coding RNA (PPER_LNC002699)
Source: RNAcentral
CCUUUGGCUGCAACAUAUUGUACAACUCAAGGACAGAAAAGCCAUUCGUUUCAUACCCUUUCUAUUCUGAUAUCUGUGAACUAGCUGCUAACAGUGACGCCCUUGUCAUUUGUUGUGCAUUGACUGCUGAAACCCACCACCUGAUCAACAAGAAAGUCUCGUUAAAGCUGGGAAGAGAUGGCGUGAUUGUAAACGUAGGACGCGGAGCUAUCAUCGAUGAGAAGGAAAUGGUGCGGUGUUUGGUGAAAAGAGAGAUUGGAGGUGCUGGUUUGGAUGUGUUUGAGGAUGAGCCUGAAGUUCCUGAAGAGCUCUUUGCAUUGGACAAUGUUGUACUGUCACCACAUUAUGCUACCUACACACCAGAAUGUUUCAUGGCUUUGUGUGAACUAGUAGCAGGGAAUUUCGAAGCAUUCUUCUCAAAUAAACCGUUGCUUUCACCGGCUGUGGAUAAUUAAAUCGAUUUCUAUUUGCAGGUUAGUGUCUCCAUGACUUUUUGCAUCAUCUUGCAUGCCAUUUUGGUUUGUUUCCCUUGGGAAUCGUUCAUACAGAAACCACUUGCAAUGGAGCUUCAGCCAUUUCUGUUCUAAUGUUUCUUCUAGUAAGGUUCGUGCACUUUUAUAAAUCGAUGCAGGGGGCCAAAUGCUGAUGCGAUGAAUGGGGCUAUUAGAGAGUACAAAGAUGAAGAACUGAGGUGUUAUCGUUACUGGUAUAUAUUUGCGAGUUGUAUGAUUUGCAUGCAGCGGACGGUGUAGAUUUGCUUGCCAAAUAAAAUGAUUGUUAAGAGGAUGCUUGUUACUAAAAUACGAAUAUGGUUUGAAUACUUUGGGUUGAGUUUUAUUCUUCUUCAUAAGGAGGUAUAUAUAGGAGUUUACAUGAGAGUUUUAUAAGGAAUUAGAUACAGUAAAGAAUUAGGAAAGUAUCUCCUAAUUGUACAAUGAUUUAUUACUUAUAUAAAAAUAGGAAACUAAAUCCCUUAAUUAAUCAAGGAAGUAAAUCUCCUUGAUUAAUUAGGAGACUCACGUCAACACUCCUCCUCAAGUUGGUGCAUAUAUGUCACCAAUGCCCAACUUGGUAAGUGAGUCAUGAAAUACUCUUCGACAAACAGCUCUGGUUAAAAGAUAUCUACCAGUUAAUCUUCUGAUCUUACGAAUGGUAGGCGGAUGAUCUUUUUCUCAAUAUCGAUAGCUGACUUGUUGUCACAAUGCAACUCCAUUGGCUUUUCUGGCUUGAAGCCCAAUUCUGUCAAGAGUCUUCUGAUCCACAAUAAUUUACAAACUCAGUGAGCCAUUCCUCGAUACUCUGCUUCAGCACUAGAUCGAGAAACCGCAUUUUGCUUUUUACUCCGCCAAGUGACUAGGUUACCUUCCACGAAUGUAAAGUAACAUGAAGUAGCGCGUCUAUCUGUAAUGAAGCUAGCCUAAUCAGCAUCUGUGUAUCCAACAACUUCAAGAUCUCCAUUUUUUGAGAACAUUAAUCUUUUCCUAGGGGUUGACUUUAAGUAUCUUAAGAUCCAAUCAACUGCAUUCCUAUGAGAAACACUGGGCGAAUGCAUAAACUGACUAACCACACUCACCGCAUAUGCAAUAUCUGGUCUUGUGUGUGCCAGAUAUAUUAACCUCCAACAAGGCGUUGGUACUGUUCCUUAUUGGUUGGUUCUUGGUCCAUAUCUUCACAUAACUUGUGAUUCAUCUCAAUGGGUGUGUCAGCAGGCUUACAUCCAAGCAUUCAUGUUUUAGUGAAUAGAUCCAUUACAUACUUCCUUUGAGACAGAAAUAUAUUAGUUUUUGAUCUUGCUACUUCGAUUCCGAGAAAGUGCUUCAAAUCACCUAAAUCCUUCAUCUCAAAUUCCUGAGACAAAUACUUUUGCAACUUCAGUUGCUCUUCUGCUUCAUUUCCAGUUACGAUUAUGUCAUCUACAUAAAAAAUCAAUGCAGUAAGUUUUCCUUCAUCAAGCUUCAAGAACAGGGUGUGAUCUGAAUUACUCUGUGUAUAUCCAAAAUUCUUCAUAGAUUUAGUAAAUCUGCCAAACCAUGCCCUGGGAGAUUGCUUUAACCCAUAUAAUGACUUUCUGAGCUUGCAAACUUGAUUUUUCUUGUCAGGAGUUGAAUUACAUCUUGGGGGUAAGUCCAUAUAUACUUAUUCUUCCAAGUCUCCAUGUAAGAAUGCAUUUUUUACAUCAAACUGAUGUAGUGGCCAAUCAAGAUUUGCUGCUAGAGAAAAUAUGACUCUAAUAGUGUUAAUCUUGGCUACUGGGGCAAAGGUCUCCUCGUAAUCUAUCCAGUAUCUUUGUGUGUACCCCUUCGCCACCAAUCUAGCUUUAUAUCUUUCAACGGAUCCAUCUGCUUUGAGUUUCACAGUAUAAAUCCACAUGCAUCCUACUGUUUUAUUUCCAUGAGGUAAGGGCAUGAGUUCCCAUGUGACAUUCUUUUGGAGAGCUCGCAUUUCUUCAUUCAUAGCUUUUUUCUAUUUUGGGUCUCCUAGUGCUUCAGUUACACUGUUAGGGACAAAUAUGUCAGUCAAUUGCUUCACAUAGUAUACAUAUGACUCUGAUAAUCUGUUGAGAGAUAUAUAAUUAUUAAUGGGGUAUUUCCCUUUGGCUUUAAUAUCUGUUUCAUAUUGUACUCGAGGUUUGCCACGGUUCUUCCUUUCUGGAAGCUGAUAUGUAGGCUAUGUGUCUUCUAAAAUCAAAUCAUCAUGAGAUAUUUCAUUAGUGUUAUCAGUUUCAGGAAAAGAUGUUACUUAAAUGACAUCCUCAGCAGGUGAUUGGUGCAGUGAGCUAAAGACGGCAAAAUCUCAUAAAACGAUUCAAUUUCCUCAUCUUGAUUUUGACAACGUGAAGAUAACUGAUCGUUUUCCUCUGGCGACCGGUCACUGUUUGCUGGCGAUUGAUCGUUUUGAAGUAGAUUCUCUGUAGUUGAAGAACUAAGGAGAGUUGACCGGUUGCUUUCCACUGGCAAUCGAUCAUUUUGAUGCAGAGUGACGUCCUGGGGAAAAAAAAUUGAGAAUUGAAGCAGUGGUGGAUUCUCGAUUCUUCUCUUGGGCUGUUGAAAAAUAUAAGUCAUGUCCCCAAAACACAACAUCUAUGGAGGUGAAGACCUUCUGACUAGGAGGAUGAUAACACCGGUAUCCUUUCUGAUGAGGUGCAUAGCCAAUGAAAACACACUUUUCAGCUCGGGGAUCCAAUUUACUUCGUUAGUGAUCAUGUAAGUGGACAAAUACAAUACAGCCAAAAAUUAGGGAUUCCAGGUUUCGGGUGGGAGGUGUUUGGAUAUGGUGGUGAAGUGUUUGAAGUGGUGUUUAGAAAUUUAAGACAAUAGAAGGAAACCAAUUGAUAAGGUAUGCUACAGAAACGAUUGCUUCGCCCCAAAAUGAUCGUGGCAUAUUGGCACCAAAGAGAGAGGCACGAACGACUUCCAAUAAGUGUCUGUUCUUUCUUUAAGCCACCUCAUUCUGUUGGGGAGUGCAAUGGCAUGAGCGUUGAUGUAUGAUGCCAUGAUCUUGUAAGAACUGGUUAAGAUCAUGGUUGAGAAAUUCUCCGCCAUUGUUAGAACAAAGAACCUGAAUUCUGGCAUGAAAUUGAGUAUCCACCAUUUGAUAAAAUUGUUGAAACUUGGAACUAACUUCCCCUUUAGUUUUGAGAAGGGAAACCCAAGUUAUGCGUGUGCAAUCAUCUAUAAACGUGAUAAACCAUUGCGUCCCUGUCAGAGUGGCAAUUUUAGCAGGUCCCCAGACAUCAGAAUGAACAAGGAAAAACGGAACCAAACUCUUAUUUGAACUUAAUGGGAAAGGGACACGAUGGCUCUUAGCCAAUUCACACGUAUCACACUGGAAGCUGGAAACAUCAAGACUGGAAAAUAAUGAUCGAAAUAACUUCUUAAGAUAACCGAACGAGGCAUGCCCAAGACGUUUAUGCCAUAACCAAAUUUUGUCUCUCUCCCCCUCAGAACGAGUUCCACUGGUUCUGAAAGCUUGACCAACCUUGGCCUCAUUAUUUGGUGCCCAGUUUAAGUAGUAGAGUUUGCCCCAUCGAGUACCACAACCAAUCGUCUUUCCUGUGAGGAUGACUAGAAAAACACAAUGAUUCGGCCAAAAUAUUACGGUACAUCCCAAAAUAGUAGUAAGUUGUGCAACAGAUAACAAGUUAUGGUCCAAAGAUGGAACAAGUAAUACAGAAUCCAGAUGUAAGGAAGUAGAGAGAGAUAGAGAGCCCUUCCUAACCACAAGGGAAGGGGUACCAUUAGCAUUAGACACCGCCGACAGAGUGGAUGAUUUGCGAUUAAUAAGUUGGCUAGGAUCAAAAGUAAUGUGAUCCGUAGCACCCGAGUCAAUAAUCUAUGCGGAUUUAUGAGAUGGCGUAUGAAAAGUAGAACCUUUGGUGGUGGCGAUAGAAGCAUGAGUCCGAGUAGCCGAGUCAGCAGGAUUGACCGCAUGCUUUUUUGAGUCUGCAAUAAGGGGCAGAAUUGUAGGAGUUCUUGACAUUGCAGCGGAAGUAAGAUGUGAUAUGAGAAUGUGAGGAAUUGUGAUUGGAGGAAUUUGAUGUAUGAAUUUGAUUAGGGUUUUGGAUUUGAAUAUGAGAAGUUCGAGAUAAGGGUUUAGAGACAACUUAGGAUAGAUUGCUCUGAUACCUUGCUAAAAUACGAAUAUGGUUUGAAUACUUUGGGUUGAGUUUUAUUCUUCCCCAUAAAGAGGUAUAUAUAGGAGUUUACAUAAGAGUUUUACAGGGAAUUAGAUACAGUAAAGAAUUAGGAAAGUAUCUCCUAAUUGUACAAUGAUUUGUCACUUAUAUAAAAAUAGGAAAGUAAAUCCUUUAAUUAAUCAAGGAAGUAAAUUUCCUUGAUUAAUUAGGAGACUCACAUCAACACUUGUUUGUAUAAAAUGCUUUUUUGUCCAGCUUCUUUGAGCAAUUGGAAUAUAAGUUCUAUGCUCCCGUUGCACGUCUCCGCUUUCUUCCUAUCUAUUUCCUCAUGUGAGUCACAUAAGGAGAGAGAUAGGAAGAAGCAAAGGGGAGAUGUGAGGUGAAAAUUAUUUGUAGGAUUUUCUUAGACACUUUUUUUUAUGAAAUACAAUCAGUUUGACAAUCACAAUUAUUUUGCUGACAUUGGAAAUGAAUAUUUUGUGUCAUUUCAAUUUUUGCUCACUUGAAAAUUAAAAUUAAGUUAUAUAUAAAGAUGAGUUGAAAAGAUGUAUUAUGUCUAUAUUUGACACGGUUCAUUAGUUUUCUAAAUCUACAUUAUGAUAUUAUUUUCUAUAUUGAGUGAAAAUAAUGGAGGAAAUUAAAUUGAUGAAUUUUGAGAAGUUUUGCUUUCUUCCAUUGUUGGUUUUGAAUAUUUUGUGGCCAUAUAAUUUCGAUAAUUUCUUUAUAGCAUCUGUGGCAUUUCUCUUCUUACGGAGGGGAGUUCGUGUUGUGACUUUUAUUACAGUCAUUUUGAGGGGCCUGACAAUUCUUGUAUGCCAUAUCCUAAGGACCAGACAAUUCCUAGGGAUCAUACUUCCUAAGGAGGAUUCUGAUAAUGAUAAGGCUGCCAUAGGUGAGGACUAGAAGGAAGCUUCAGAGAGGAAAAUGAAGAAAUCAACGCUAGUUUAUCAGAUCUUUACUUCCUGGCCUACAAAAUAAGAACACACAAACACAAAUAUUUAUCAAUUUUGGUUGAUGCAGAACUUGUAAAAAGUCUAAAAAAUUAUUUGAUAUAAUUUAAAAUAAUUUAGAGAUUGAGAGGAUUUUAGGGUUAAGGCUUCACUUAGGGAUGAGAUUGCAAAUAGUGAGAUUAAAAUUACUGGUUAUAUAGGCGUGUCCAGAUAGUGGGGAUUAGUAGUGUUCAUGUUGGCCCGAUAAAAGUGGUGGUCAUGCGCGAACUACCAAUAUGUACCCAUGCCUCAUUUGGGUUCCAAAAAAGAGAAUGUGAGAAGAAUGAAAUGGGUCUCUGGGUCUUAGAGAAGAGAAGGUGAGAAGAACGUUGACCUUAAUCUCAUUCCAAAUAACCUUGAAAACCCAUUGGUUGAAACUGAUGGGUUGGAUAUGAUUUUAGAUCCUUAAUCGAAACAUUGUUUUGUGAUUUGUGUUAGAUAUUGUUUUUUCUUGUUGGUGUAACAACAAUCAGUUAUACAAUUAUUUAAUUCUAAUAGUUAAAUAAGCACAACAAUAGUAAAAUAAAUAAAUAAAUAAAACGAAAUUCAAUAAAACAAUAAAGAAACCAUGACUGCUUUUGUAACGUAAAGAGCUUCUAUUACACUUUCACUUUUUCUUUCGUUUUUGUAGAAAUGUUAGUUGAACUUAUACCUCAGUUUCAAUUUGUCACUUUGAAGAAAAAUUUAAGAGAAAUGAUACCAUAAUUUUUUAAAAUCCAUGAUUUGUCAUCUGACUUUCAUACCAUCCAAUUUUCCAUAUAUUUUAAGGGUAUUUUAGCCGUUUCAGUUUCAAUGGUAUUUUAAAAAUGGAAAAAUCAUUAUAAUAAAAAUCGUAUAUGUUUUAAACAAUUAAAAUUGAAGAGAAAAUCUCACCUUACCCCUUGUACACCACCGGUGGCUCCAACCAACUCUGCCUACCUUGAAAUCCAUUUCCCCUUCCCUCUUCACAGCCCCUUCCUCCAUUCCCCCUUCUCUCUUUCCCUUCAUCCUUCUGUCUCUACCAUGGAACACAUACCCUCCACACACAAAUUCUCUCAGCCCACCCAAACUAAGUCCACCUUCUUCUUCGUUUUUCUUUUUUAAAAUUGUAGACAUGCUCAAUGAACACCAUAAAAAAAAUUUAUGCAUGCUGAGAGAGAGAGAGAGAGAGGGGGGUCCUGUGCGAUGUGUUUUUGGGGCGGGUGUGGUUGGGUUGGUGGAGAAAGCGAGAAAAAAGGUUUUUUUUUCUUCUUUUUUUUUUUUUGAAAUGGAAAGACUAAAAUACCCUUAAAUGAAUGAAAAAUUGAAUGGUGUUAAAGUGACAAAUUGGAUGGAUUUUGAAAAAUUAAGAUGAUACUUAUCUUAAACUUUUCUUUAAAGUGACAAAUUAAAACUGAGAUAAGUUCAAACGACAUUUCUACAAAAAUUCUUUUUCUUUUUCUAAACUUUUGCUCAGAACUUUAGUGAAAAAGAAAAUCCACCACCCAUACAACGACACUUGACCGACAAAAUCCAAAGACAUAUCAAAAGACCACAGAAAACAUGACGCUCAUCUACCAACACCGUACAUCAGCAACAGUGGGCAUUCAUAAUUCAGUGCAUAUAUCAUACCAACUUCACGUAUUAUUUGUAGUACUUCACUAAUUCCUUCCCUAUUUUCCACAUGGUACCAAAAAUGAGCAUGAUUUAGUGAAAUAUUCAUCUAGGUCUUCAAAUGUUUUCCGCAUUCUCUGUUUGGGUAAGGUAAUCUAUAAUUUCUCGUAAGGAAAAAUGCUAAAGUGAUUACAUUGCUUGAUAAUUAAUAAUGAUGUUUACUCGUUGCAUUAAUUAUUAUGAUAAAUUAUUCAAUGACAAGUUUAUUCAGAUAGUUAAUGUGGUUUUAAAAAAGAAGUAAUGAUUUAGUGUUAUUUAUGGCCAUCGAAAAAAGGGGGGGGGGGGGUGUUAUUUAUGCCUUAAAAAAAAUGUUCAAUUCAAUUCAAUCAUACACCAUUCUUCUGAUUCUACUGUUUCUCUGCUGCAAAUUGCAAUGAGGCUAUUAUUUUUGCGGGGUCCCUCGGCCAUAUGAUGCCCUCUAGAUCAUGAAAACAUUAUAUAAUGGUCUUUUACAUUUGAAAUUCCAUCUAAAACAUAUGCUCAUGCUAUACUAUAAUGGUCCAAUUCCAAUCCCAAGACCUCCCACAACUCCUGAUUAUUCAACCUCCAUUAUGCUUGGCAAUUGCUGAAUCUCAGUUGUCUCAAAAAUUCCAUCUCCUCAAAGCAUGGGAGUCAGAACUCCCUCUAGACCAGUUCUUGACCACCUAUGCAUGCUCAGUCCAAGCCAUGCUUUGCUACCCUUUCACUCAGGUCAAUGCAGACCUCCUCCGGCUACUUCCGGCACUCAAACUUGUUGUCAGCCCCACUGCUGGGGUCAACAACAUCGAUGUGGUCGAGUGCCGGCGGCGUGGAAUAUCAGUGACCACUUCUGGGAGUGCAUUCUCAGAAGAUGUUGCUGAUACUGCCGUAGGUUUGCUCAUUGAUGUGCAUAGAAGAAUCUCAGCAGCAGAUCGGUAUGUGAAAGGGCUUUGGACUAGCAAAGGAGAUUAUCCUCUUGGUUCCAAGGUAAUGCUAGCUAGAGAGAUCUCAUUUACUAAGUUUCUAAACCACAUAUGUACAUUAGUUGAUGGCAGUUGAUUUGUUAAUUAACAAUUAACGAUAAUAAUUGAUGUAAUAAGUACGCAUCCAUAACUCACAAAAACUGAUUAGUUCUUUAGCAUUGGGAAUUGAAGAUUUUCUUUAUUUCUUGUUGUAGUACACAUACACCCUAGUUGAUCCUCUGAUAUUAAAUGAUUGAUCGACUCUCUAUAUAUUUUAUUAUUAUUUAUGUAAUAUUAAUUGUCAACUGGUAAUUAAUUUCAGUUAGGAGGCAAGCGAGUUGGGAUUGUUGGAUUAGGAAGCAUUGGCUCUGAAAUUGCAAAAAGACUGGAGGCCUUUGGGUGCAUUGUCUCAUACAACUCAAGGAGCAAAAAUCCAUCUUUAACAUACCCCUUCUAUUCCAGUGUUCAUGAACUUGCAGCCAAUACUGAUGCCCUCAUCAUCUGUUGUGCAUUGACAGACCAAACCCGCCACAUGAUCAACAAGGAAGUCUUAUCUGCACUGGGAAGAGAGGGAGUGAUUGUCAACGUUGGACGGGGGGCUAUUAUUGAUGAGAAGGAAUUGGUGAGGUUUCUGGUGCAUGGAGAGAUUGGAGGCGCUGGUUUGGAUGUGUUUGAGAAUGAGCCUCAUGUUCCUGAAGAACUCUUUGCUUUGGACAACGUUGUUCUGUCUCCACAUAACGCUGCUUUUACUCCCGAAUCUGUAGAGAGUUCGAGUCAAAUAGUUAUUGCCAAUUUGGAAGCUUUCUUCUCAAAUGAGCCUUUGGUUACUCCAUUCAUGGAUGACUAAAUUUGAUUUUAUGUGUUGUUUCCUUUAUUUAUUUUCAGACAUUUGUUUUUGGCUGAACUCUGUUCUUGUGGAAGUAAUUCCUUGGCUUGCAAGAAGCUAUGAAUUACAAUGACUCUGAUUAUCUCAUUUGACUGGCAGUUUUCAUUGCUCUUAUUUCCAACAUUUUUCUUAAGCUUGUAAUAUCUCUUUGUCAAAUUCCUUUUGAUCAAGCCUUAAUUACAAAAGUCAGCCAAGAUAACACAUGAAAUGAAUACCACAGAAAAAAGAUAAUUGAAAUCCUCUUUUGUUUAAAGUAAAUUAAAGUGGUUUUUAUGAUUGGAAAUGCCAGAUAGGAGGCAAACGAGUUGGGAUUGUCGGAUUGGGAAACAUUGGCUUAGAAGUUGCCAAAAGACUUGAGGCCUUUGGCUGCAACAUAUUGUACAACUCAAGGACAGAAAAGCCAUUCGUUUCAUACCCUUUCUAUUCUGAUAUCUGUGAACUAGCUGCUAACAGUGACGCCCUUGUCAUUUGUUGUGCAUUGACUGCGCUGGGAAGAGAUGGCUGUAAACAUAGGACGCGGAGCUAUCAUCGAUGAGAAGGAAAUGGUGCGGUGUUUGGUGAAAGGAGAGAUUGGAGGUGCUGGUUUGGAUGUGUUUGAGGACGAGCCUGAAGUUCCUGAAGAGCUCUUUGCAUUGGACAAUGUUGUACUGUCACCACAUUAUGCUACCUACACACCAGAAUGUUUCAUGGCUUUGUGUGAACUAGUAGCAGGGAAUUUCGAAGCAUUCUUCUCAAAUAAACCGUUGCUUUCACCGGCUGUGGAUAAUUCAAUAGAUUUCUAUUUGCACGUUAGUGUCUCCAUGACUUUUUGCAUCAUCUUGCAUGCCAUUUUGGUUUGUUUCCCUUGGGAAUCGUUCAUACAGAAACCACUUGCAAUGGAGCUUUGAGUUUCACAGUAUAAAUCCACAUGCAUCCUACUGUCUUAUUUUCAUGAGGUAAGGGCAUGAGUUCUCAUGUGACAUUCUUUUGGAGAGCUCGCAUUUCUUCAUUCAUAGCUUCUUUUCAUUUUGGGUUUCCUAGUGCUUCAGUUACACUGUUGGGGACAAAUAUGUCAGCCAACUACUUCACAGAGUGCACAUGUGACUCUGAUAAUGCUUAGAGAUAUAUAAUUAUUGAUGGGGUAUUUCCCUUUGACUUUAAGAUCUGCUUCAUAUUGUACUCGAGGUUUCCCACGGUUCUUCCUUUCUGGAAUUUGAUAUGUAGGCUUUGUGCCUUCUGAAAUCAAAUCAUCAUGGAAUAUUUCAUUAGUGUUAUCAGUUUCAGGAAAAGAUGUUACCUAAAUGACAUCUUCAGUAGGUGAUUGGUGCAGUACUAGAGCUAAAGCGUGCAAAAUCUCAUAAAACGGUUCAAUUUCUUCCUCCUGAUUUUGACAGCGUGGAGACAACUGAUCGUUUUCCUCUGACGACCGGUCACUGUCUACUGGCGAUUGAUCGUUUUGAAGUAGGUUCCCUGUAGUUGAAAAUUUUAAGGGUCUAAACUAUUUUAUUUAGCCAAUGUCCCCCUACCGGCAAAUUUCCUAAUAUUUCAUCCACUUCUCCGUCAAGUUUGAGGGCAAAUUGUUCAUUCCGUAACCCCCUUCCUCCUCCUAAGUUUCAGGCAGCCGCCACCUAACCCCAACCCAUGAAGCCACCACUCCGACCCACACAUCCACCCUGACCCACGCAACCACCACCCCAGAAGCCAUCUCCAACCAGCAACCAACAAAUUCAGGGGCAAAUUGAAAACUGGGUACAAAUUCAGCCAUUCUCUAUACUGAGUUGCCUGUAUGUAUGGCUGAAUUGAUAUGAAAAAUCUCGUAUAUACAUACGAAACAUCUGGAUGUCGUUUUGUCAAAGGAAGCAGGUAAAGCAUCUACCAGUUGACAGUUGUGGGUCCAUACUCCAUAGAUAAUCAAAAUUGUUUCUCAAUUUCUCAAUUUCUCAAUUGCCACUUCUGAAAUCUAUCUCCACCUCAACAAUUCUCAAGUCUCAAGAACAAGAAGCCAAUCCAAUGGCACUUAAUGGAAAUCACAGUGAACUCCCACAAGUUCUGGUACUUCUCCCACCUGGGUGCUUCACUCUCUUGGAGUCCAACUACUCCCACAAGUUCAAGUUCCUCAAAGCUUGGGACUCUCCUCUCCCUCAAGACCAGUUCUUGGCCACACAUGCAGGCUCUGUUCAGGCCUUGCUGUCCUCUGCCAAUGGACCAACCAUCACUGCCAAUAUCCUACAAAUGCUGCCCUCCUUGAAGGUCAUUGUCACCACCAGCGUUGGCAUUGACCAUCUUGACUUAGCCGAGUGUCGAAGCCGCGGUGUUGCCAUUGCCAGUACCCCUAAAAUCUUCACUGAGGAUGUUGCUGAUAUGGCUGUGGGGCUGCUUCUUGAUGUCAUGAGAAAGAUUUCGGCUGGGGAUCGGUAUGUCAGAGACGGGCUUUGGGCUACCAGAGGAGACUAUGCUCUCGGUUCUAAGGUCAGCAGCAUUCGGUUCUAGCUCACAUGCCUUAAUCUUUUCUGGGUUUUGCUUGUUUCCUGUGGCUAUGGUUGAAAUAAAUUGUUCCUAAUUAUGCUUUCCCUUUCAAUGUUCAGAUGAAAAUAAUCACAAAGGUAGUGUUUGAUUAAAUAUCUUUUAACAAAAAUGAGGUAGUGUUUGAUUAAAUAUCUUUUAACAAAAAUGAUUUUUGGGAGCUAUUCUGGUGUCAAAUUAAUUUUAACAAAGUCAGUUCUUUACCACUUAAUGAUUAUGUUAUGCGUUGAAAUUUGUCAACAGAUAAUUGAAAUUCUCUUUUGUUUAAAGUAAAUUAAAGUGGUUUCUAUGAUUGGAAAUGCCAGAUAGGAGGCAAACGAGUUGGGAUUGUUGGCUUGGGAAACAUUGGCUUAGAAGUUGCCAAAAGACUUGAGGCCUUUGGCUGCAACAUAUUGUACAACUCAAGGACAGAAAAGCCAUUCGUUUCAUACCCUUUCUAUUCUGAUAUCUGUGAACUAGCUGCUAACAGUGACGCCCUUGUCAUUUGUUGUGCAUUGACUGCUGAAACCCACCACCUGAUCAACAAGAAAGUCUUGUUAGCGCUGGGAAGAGAUGGCGUGAUUGUAAACAUAGGACGCGGAGCUAUCAUCGAUGAGAAGGAAAUGGUGCGGUGUUUGGUGAUAGGAGAGAUUGGAGGUGCCGGUUUGGAUGUGUUUGAGGAUGAGCCUGAAGUUCCUGAAGAGCUCUUUGCAUUGGACAAUGUUGUACUGUCACCACAUUAUGCUAC